This 254-nucleotide ribosomal RNA is filed under the name uncultured bacterium. RNAcentral's name for it is "partial 16S ribosomal RNA". It matches the Rfam family "Bacterial small subunit ribosomal RNA", at positions 524 to 776 of the family's 1533-position model. The record is from RNAcentral.
UACGUAGGGGGCAAGCGUUGUCCGGAAUUAUUGGGCGUAAAGAGCUCGUAGGCGGUGUGUCGCGUCGACCGUGAAAACCUGCAGCUUAACUGUGGGCGUGCGGUCGAUACGGGCAUCACUGGAGUUCGGCAGGGGAGACUGGAAUUCCUGGUGUAGCGGUGAAAUGCGCAGAUAUCAGGAGGAACACCGGUGGCGAAGGCGGGUCUCUGGGCCGAUACUGACGCUGAGGAGCGAAAGCGUGGGGAGCGAACAGG